RNAcentral lists this ribosomal RNA (1343 nucleotides) under uncultured bacterium. Its description in RNAcentral is "16S ribosomal RNA". It matches the Rfam family "Bacterial small subunit ribosomal RNA", at positions 28 to 1378 of the family's 1533-position model. The record is from RNAcentral.
GACGAACGCUGGCGGCGUGCUUAACACAUGCAAGUCGAACGGAAAGGCCCUGCUUUUGUGGGGUGCUCGAGUGGCGAACGGGUGAGUAACACGUGAGUAACCUGCCCUUGACUUUGGGAUAACUUCAGGAAACUGGGGCUAAUACCGGAUAGGAGCUCCUGCUGCAUGGUGGGGGUUGGAAAGUUUCGGCGGUUGGGGAUGGACUCGCGGCUUAUCAGCUUGUUGGUGGGGUAGUGGCUUACCAAGGCUUUGACGGGUAGCCGGCCUGAGAGGGUGACCGGCCACAUUGGGACUGAGAUACGGCCCAGACUCCUACGGGAGGCAGCAGUGGGGAAUAUUGCACAAUGGGCGGAAGCCUGAUGCAGCAACGCCGCGUGCGGGAUGACGGCCUUCGGGUUGUAAACCGCUUUCGCCUGUGACGAAGCGUGAGUGACGGUAAUGGGUAAAGAAGCACCGGCUAACUACGUGCCAGCAGCCGCGGUGAUACGUAGGGUGCGAGCGUUGUCCGGAUUUAUUGGGCGUAAAGGGCUCGUAGGUGGUUGAUCGCGUCGGAAGUGUAAUCUUGGGGCUUAACCCUGAGCGUGCUUUCGAUACGGGUUGACUUGAGGAAGGUAGGGGAGAAUGGAAUUCCUGGUGGAGCGGUGGAAUGCGCAGAUAUCAGGAGGAACACCAGUGGCGAAGGCGGUUCUCUGGGCCUUUCCUGACGCUGAGGAGCGAAAGCGUGGGGAGCGAACAGGCUUAGAUACCCUAGUAGUCCACGCUGUAAACGGUGGGUACUAGGUGCGGGGUCCAUUCCACGGGUUCCGUGCCGUAGCUAACGCUUUAAGUACCCCGCCUGGGGAGUACGGCCGCAAGGCUAAAACUCAAAGGAAUUGACGGGGCCCCGCACAAGCGGCGGAGCAUGCGGAUUAAUUCGAUGCAACGCGUAGAACCUUACCUGGGUUUGACAUGGAUCGGGAGUGCUCAGAGAUGGGUGUGCCUCUUUUGGGGUCGGUUCACAGGUGGUGCAUGGCUGUCGUCAGCUCGUGUCGUGAGAUGUUGGGUUAAGUCCCGCAACGAGCGCAACCCUUGUUCACUGUUGCCAGCACGUUAUGGUGGGGACUCAGUGGAGACCGCCGGGGUCAACUCGGAGGAAGGUGGGGAUGACGUCAAGUCAUCAUGCCCCUUAUGUCCAGGGCUUCACGCAUGCUACAAUGGCUGGUACAGAGAGUGGCGAGCCUGUGAGGGUGAGCGAAUCUCGGAAAGCCGGUCUCAGUUCGGAUUGGGGUCUGCAACUCGACCUCAUGAAGUCGGAGUCGCUAGUAAUCGCAGAUCAGCAACGCUGCGGUGAAUACGUUCCCGGG